GAUGAACGCUGGCGGCGUGCCUAAUACAUGCAAGUCGAACGAAGUCUUCGGACUUCGUGGCGAACGGGUGAGUAACACGUUGGUACCUACCCCGAAGUGGGGAAUAACUGCCCGAAAGGGUGGCUAAUACCGCAUAAUACCGCAAGGUUAAAGCAGUAAUGCGCUUCGGGAGGGGCCUGCGGCCCAUUAGGUGGUUGGUAGGGUAAAGGCCUACCAAGGCGACGGAGGGUAGCUGGAUCGAGAGGUUGACCAGCCACACUGGACUGAGACACGGCCCAGAGUCCUACGGGAGGCAGCAGUAAGGAAUCUUCCACAAUGGACGAAAGUCUGAUGGAGCAACGCCGCGUGCAGGAUGACGGCCUUCGGGUUGUAAACCUCUUUUAGUAGGGAAGAAGCGAAAGUGACGGUACCUGCAGAAAAAGCACCGGCUAACUACGUGCCAGCCGCCGCAGUAA
This 455-nucleotide ribosomal RNA is filed under the name uncultured bacterium. RNAcentral describes it as "partial 16S ribosomal RNA". It matches the Rfam family "Bacterial small subunit ribosomal RNA", at positions 28 to 523 of the family's 1533-position model. The record is from RNAcentral.